Molecule: ribosomal RNA, 493 nt
Filed under: uncultured bacterium
Lineage: Bacteria
Description: bacterial SSU rRNA
Rfam family: Bacterial small subunit ribosomal RNA
Source: RNAcentral
GAUGAACGCUAGCUACAGGCUUAACACAUGCAAGUCGAGGGGAAACGAUAGAGAAAGCUUGCUUUUUCUAGGCGUCGACCGGCGCACGGGUGAGUAACGCGUAUCCAACCUGCCCAUCACUUGGGGAUAACCUUGCGAAAGUAAGACUAAUACCCAAUGACGUCUCUAGAAGACAUCUGAAAGAGAUUAAAGAUUUAUCGGUGAUGGAUGGGGAUGCGUCUGAUUAGCUUGUUGGCGGGGUAACGGCCCACCAAGGCGACGAUCAGUAGGGGUUCUGAGAGGAAGGUCCCCCACAUUGGAACUGAGACACGGUCCAAAACUCCUACGGGAGGCAGCAGUGAGGAAUAUUGGUCAAUGGGCGAGAGCCUGAACCAGCCAAGUAGCGUGCAGGAUGACGGCCCUAUGGGUUGUAAACUGCUUUUAUAAGGGAAUAAAGUGGGAGUCGUGACUCUUUUUGCAUGUACCUUAUGAAUAAGGACCGGCUAAUUCCGUG